GAUGAACGCUGGCGGCGUGCCUAAUACAUGCAAGUCGAGCGAACGGACGAGAAGCUUGCUUCUCUGAUGUUAGCGGCGGACGGGUGAGUAACACGUGGAUAACCUACCUAUAAGACUGGGAUAACUUCGGGAAACCGGAGCUAAUACCGGAUAAUAUUUUGAACCGCAUGGUUCAAAAGUGAAAGACGGUCUUGCUGUCACUUAUAGAUGGAUCCGCGCUGCAUUAGCUAGUUGGUAAGGUAACGGCUUACCAAGGCAACGAUGCAUAGCCGACCUGAGAGGGUGAUCGGCCACACUGGAACUGAGACACGGUCCAGACUCCUACGGGAGGCAGCAGUAGGGAAGCUUCCGCAAUGGGCGAAAGCCUGACGGAGCAACGCCGCGUGAGUGAUGAAGGUCUUCGGAUCGUAAAACUCUGUUAUUAGGGAAGAACGUAUGUGUAAGUAACUGUGCACAUCUUGACGGUACCUAAUCAGAAAGCCACGGCUAACUACGUG
Molecule: ribosomal RNA, 497 nt
Filed under: uncultured bacterium
Lineage: Bacteria
Description: partial 16S ribosomal RNA
Rfam family: Bacterial small subunit ribosomal RNA
Source: RNAcentral